Molecule: transfer RNA, 66 nt
Filed under: Anotogaster sieboldii
Lineage: Eukaryota; Metazoa; Arthropoda; Insecta; Odonata; Cordulegastridae
Description: tRNA-Pro
Source: RNAcentral
CAGAAAGUAGUUUAAUGAAAAUAUUAAUUUUGGAGAUUAAAGAUGAAUUUAGAAGUUUCUUUCUGA